GAGGGUAUAGCUCAGUGGCAGAGCAUGUGCUUAGCGUGCACGAGGUCCUAGGUUCAAUCCCCAGUACCUCCA
This 72-nucleotide transfer RNA is filed under the name Camelus bactrianus (Bactrian camel). It matches the Rfam family "tRNA". Rfam says of the family: Transfer RNA (tRNA) molecules are approximately 80 nucleotides in length. Their secondary structure includes four short double-helical elements and three loops (D, anti-codon, and T loops). Further hydrogen bonds mediate the characteristic L-shaped molecular structure. tRNAs have two regions of fundamental functional importance: the anti-codon, which is responsible for specific mRNA codon recognition, and the 3' end, to which the tRNAs corresponding amino acid is attached (by aminoacyl-tRNA synthetases). tRNAs cope with the degeneracy of the genetic code in two manners: having more than one tRNA (with a specific anti-codon) for a particular amino acid; and 'wobble' base-pairing, i.e. permitting non-standard base-pairing at the 3rd anti-codon position. RNAcentral also lists the same sequence under 1 other name. Lineage: Eukaryota; Metazoa; Chordata; Mammalia; Artiodactyla; Camelidae. The record is from Rfam by way of RNAcentral.